UAUGGUUGGUUUUGCCAACCUAGCCGUGGCAGAAAAUCUGCAUGGCGGAAUAGUGGGAAAAAGCUGUGCGCCAUCAUAAUCCCUAAGAUUCAGUAAUCAGGUAAACCCCUCUCCUCUCCUCUCUCUCUCUACAUUACACUUGUUCUGUCUAUAUAUGGUGAUUUAAAUCUGCGGUUGCAGAUGUAUAAUCAAGAUUUUUUCCUUUAUCCUUCUCGGCCACAAAAUAUCCUCGAAAUUUUGCCUACUUGCACUUCGCGUCUCUAUGUGGACUGCCACCCUAGCUCAACAAAAGCUAGCUCUUCUCGAAUCCAAUAGAGAAGAUGGGAUCAUCUCAAGACACCAC
Molecule: long non-coding RNA, 343 nt
Filed under: Salvia miltiorrhiza (redroot sage)
Lineage: Eukaryota; Viridiplantae; Streptophyta; Magnoliopsida; Lamiales; Lamiaceae
Description: long non-coding RNA (SMIL_LNC010979)
Source: RNAcentral